This 468-nucleotide ribosomal RNA is filed under the name uncultured bacterium. RNAcentral describes it as "partial 16S ribosomal RNA". It matches the Rfam family "Bacterial small subunit ribosomal RNA", at positions 28 to 507 of the family's 1533-position model. The record is from RNAcentral.
GACGAACGCUGGCGGCGUGCUUAACACAUGCAAGUCGAACGGAAGGGCCCUGCUUUUGUGGGGUGCUCGAGUGGCGAACGGGUGAGUAACACGUGAGUAACCUGCCCUUGACUUUGGGAUAACUUCAGGAAACUGGGGCUAAUACCGGCUAGGAGCGCCUGCUGCAUGGUGGGGGUUGGAAAGUUUCGGCGGUUGGGGAUGGACUGGCGGGUUAUCAGCUGGUUGGUGGGGUAGUGGCUUACCAAGGGUUCGACGGGUAGCCGGCCUGGGAGCGGGAACAGGGACCAGAGUCCUACGGUACGGCCCAGUGGCCUAUGGUGGGCAGCGGGGGGGAAUAUGGCACAGUGGGCGGGAGCGUGUUGCAGAAGCCCCCCGUGCGUGAAGACGGCUUUCGGGUGGUAAACCGCAGUAGCCUGUGACGAAGCGUGAGUGACGGUAAUGGGUAAAGAAGCACCGGCUAACUACGUG